RNAcentral lists this ribosomal RNA (468 nucleotides) under uncultured bacterium. Its description in RNAcentral is "partial 16S ribosomal RNA". It matches the Rfam family "Bacterial small subunit ribosomal RNA", at positions 28 to 507 of the family's 1533-position model. The record is from RNAcentral.
GACGAACGCUGGCGGCGUGCUUAACACAUGCCAGUCGAACGGCAAGGCCCUGCUUUUGUGGGGUGCUCGAGUGGCGAACGGGUGAGUAACACGUGAGUAACCUGCCCUUGACUUUGGGAUAACUUCAGGAAACUGGGGCUAAUACCGGAUCGGAGCUCCUGCUGCAUGGUGGGGGUUGGAAAGUUUCGGCGGUUGGGGAUGGACUCGCGGCUUAUCAGCUUGUUGGUGGGGUAGUGGCUUACCAAGGAUUUGACGGGUAGCCGGCCUGAGAGGGUGACCGGCCACAUUGGGACUGAGAGACGGCCCAGACGCCUACGGGAGGCAGCAGUGGGGAAUAUUGCACAAUGGGCGGAAGCCUGAUGCAGCAACGCCGCGGGCGGGAUGACGGCCUUCGGGUUGUAAACCGCUUUCGCCUGUGACGAAGCGUGAGUGACGGUAAUGGGUAAAGAAGCACCGGCUAACUACGUG